UAAGAUUUAGACAUUUAUAAAUCAAUCCUGGGAAUGAAUAACUUGAAUCUAGGGCAGAGUAGGAAAAAAAUUUUCAUGUUCUCUUUGUACCCCACAAACAAUCUAAGCUGUAGCCUGUAGAAAAUGUUGAUCCAAUAAUAACUUCCAUAUUUACCAAUCUUUCAGUUGCAUAAUCAGCUCACUUAAUUGGGGAAAAUAUAAUAGUUCACAUGGAGUGAAAUAAUGGAAUUGACUAUAAAUGAAUGUGUGAAAAUAAUAUUUAUCUUUAUGACCAGUAGUGGUGAGACUGGCUAUUAUAAAAUAUAAUGUUCUUUGAAACAGUGUUUUACGAAGUCAAAAUAUUUGAAACCCAACUUCCAGAAAAUCUUUGUGAUUUCUGCUUUUCUCUUUUCUCUUCUGUCUCCCACCGCACAUGAGGCACAAGAUCAGCUGAUACCAUGGGCUGGUGUCGUGAAAGCUCUUCGGUGCCAACCCUCAACAAAGCCAAGUCAGAUACGGUGCCUACCAGAUUGUAGAGUCUGAGCUUCCUAAUGGUGGAAAACCUUCUGGCGGUGGCAUCAGGUGUAACUAUGGCAACCUUGGAAGGGUGCCUUUUCCUGAGAGGCUAUUGUAUAGCCAGCUUUGAACAUCUCCAGUAAAGGGACUUACUACCUCACAUUGCCUCCCCUUCCAUUUUCAGUUUGUAAAUAAUUAAAUGAACACAACUGAGGAGAAUAAACCACUGUUGCAUCUUGGCCCAAAGCUCAACUAUAACCUAAGAGUCUAUCGGAUGACGCCACUGCCGGAUUCUCAGGUUGGGUCAAACGCUCCUUUUUUCCACUCCGCCGGCACCGUUCUAUCUGAAAGUAACUUGAGCAAAUUGCAAGUUUG
This 870-nucleotide long non-coding RNA is filed under the name Ursus americanus (American black bear). Its description in RNAcentral is "lncRNA (ENSUAMG00000028283.1)". Lineage: Eukaryota; Metazoa; Chordata; Mammalia; Carnivora; Ursidae. The record is from RNAcentral.